Molecule: ribosomal RNA, 22 nt
Filed under: uncultured bacterium
Lineage: Bacteria
Description: partial 23S ribosomal RNA
Source: RNAcentral
UUGUAAGUAAUGAAAAACGUAC